RNAcentral lists this ribosomal RNA (432 nucleotides) under uncultured bacterium. RNAcentral describes it as "partial 16S ribosomal RNA". It matches the Rfam family "Bacterial small subunit ribosomal RNA", at positions 29 to 507 of the family's 1533-position model. The record is from RNAcentral.
GCGAACGCUGGCGGCAUGCCUAACACAUGCCAGUCGAACGAGACCUUCGGGUCUAGUGGCGCACGGGUGCGUAACGCGUGGGAACCUGCCCUUAGGUUCGGAAUAACUCCCCGAAAGGGGUGCUAAUACCGGAUAAUGUCUUCGGACCAAAGAUUUAUCGCCUUUGGAUGGGCCCGCGUUGGAUUAGCUAGUUGGUAGGGUAAAAGCCUACCAAGGCGACGAUCCAUAGCUGGUCUGAGAGGAUGAUCAGCCACACUGGGACUGAGACACGGCCCAGACUCCUACGGGAGGCAGCAGUGGGGAAUAUUGGACAAUGGGCGAAAGCCUGAUCCAGCAAUGCCGCGUGAGUGAUGAAGGCCUUAGGGUUGUAAAGCUCUUUUACCCGGGAUGAUAAUGACAGUACCGGGAGAAUAAGCUCCGGCUAACUCCGUG